RNAcentral lists this long non-coding RNA (371 nucleotides) under Chinchilla lanigera (long-tailed chinchilla). Its description in RNAcentral is "lncRNA (ENSCLAG00000028123.1)". The record is from RNAcentral. Lineage: Eukaryota; Metazoa; Chordata; Mammalia; Rodentia; Chinchillidae.
AGACACACGUUUUACAAGGUUGUUUACGCGGCAACAAGAACCCGGAAGCAGGAAACAGGCGCCAUCUUAGGGGAGCGGCUAAGGCAGCUCCCAACAAUCUCAGGCUGUAGCCCAUGAGUUUGGCUGGGCAUCUGCUUUAAUUAAGUUCAUGUUUUCAGGGAGAUGGCAAAUGUGUGGGGAAGGGAACGUUCAGCCCAUUUAUGAACUUCUAGUCCAGUAAAAUAACAAGGGGAUGGGGCAGAGAGGAGCUGACUUCAAGAGAAAUGACAACAAAAAUGGACUUUCUCAGAAACCCCAGGGUCAGCUGGAGUUUUGCUGAAUUCUGCAGAGAACAGCUUGACCCUUAAUUAACGAGCACAUGCACAUCUUCA